Molecule: transfer RNA, 73 nt
Filed under: Cellulomonadaceae bacterium
Lineage: Bacteria; Bacillati; Actinomycetota; Actinomycetes; Micrococcales; Cellulomonadaceae
Description: tRNA-Arg
Rfam family: tRNA
About the family: Transfer RNA (tRNA) molecules are approximately 80 nucleotides in length. Their secondary structure includes four short double-helical elements and three loops (D, anti-codon, and T loops).
Source: RNAcentral
GCCCCCGUAGCUCAGUGGAUAGAGCAUCGGACUUCUAAUCCGCAGGUCGCUGGUUCGAAUCCAGCCGGGGGCA